UACGAAGGGUGCAAGCGUUACUCGGAAUUACUGGGCGUAAAGCGUGCGUAGGCGGUUUGUUAAGUCCGUUGUGAAAGCCCUGGGCUCAACCUGGGAAUUGCAGUGGAUACUGGCGAGCUAGAGUGCGGUAGAGGAUGGUGGAAUUCCCGGUGUAGCGGUGAAAUGCGUAGAGAUCGGGAGGAACACCCGUGGCGAAGGCGGCCAUCUGGACCAGCACUGACGCUGAGGCAUGAAAGCGUGGGGAGCAAACCGG
This 253-nucleotide ribosomal RNA is filed under the name uncultured bacterium. Its description in RNAcentral is "partial 16S ribosomal RNA". It matches the Rfam family "Bacterial small subunit ribosomal RNA", at positions 524 to 776 of the family's 1533-position model. The record is from RNAcentral.